AAAAGUUAAUAUAGUGGAGAACCUGAGUAUGUUGAAGGGUCAACUUUCAAUGUCCAGAGUGAGCUUCUCAUCUGGGAUUGUUUUGCAUAAUGAAUUUGUCUUAUUAUGUAUCUAUAAAUCUCACUUCCAUGUUCUCCUGAGUAGACAUGUAUUGAAAAUUCUAUACGGGGUGAUACUAAUAGUAUGUUGUAUGACUCACAUUAAGAUCACAUAUAGUUGAAAAAGUUCAUGUUGUGUUCUGUAGUCCUGACUUUUGUUUCUUCAGUGCAUUUUAAAUGGGUAAGGAGUAGGCCAAAUAGUAUGAAAUUUAAAGUUGGUUUCCCCUUCAUGUGUUCUCUUUCAGAUUUUUGUUUCUGAAAAUGAAUUGCUUCAAAACUUUUGUUGGCAAAGUUCACUAGAAUGUCCCAAAAAAAAAAAAAAAAACAUUGCAUUGUUCGGGAUGAUAAUUUAUAUCCAAUAUGAUCAUUAGUCACUUAGAGAACCUGAUUUGGGAAGUGGGUCGUAAAGUUUUAAUAGUUUUGUUGUGUGUAAUUUUCUUGCUUUGCCUACCAAGAAUCUAAUAACCAAAGGCUUAGUUGUUUUCUCCAAAUGGUUUUCAAUUUGUUGUAGGUAAACAAGAGCUACUAAGUUGUUAUGCAGCAGGGGAAUGGAAGGAAAGUAAAAAUUCAAGCUUUUAAUCAAAGAGAGAAAUGGAGCGACGCUAAACAAAAUAUAGGUAAAACUGACUGAUACUUUCUUUCCAUUUAAAUAUAAAUCAAUUGAUUAAGUUUGUGUUUAAAAUGAAGUUUCAAUUGUUUCCGAAUUCUAACAAUGUCCUACGCAUUAAGAUAAUCUAUUUAGAGUUUUGAUCCACUUUUGAUUAUGCAUAAUUUCAAUUCUUUUCCAUGUAGAGUUUCGAUUUUUCUUAUCAGUGAGAGAAGAAGCUGUAAUUUGGGUUCACAAUUUUUGCCUUUGUAGAUUUUUGACGUAGGACUGAGCUUUCAAAAGGCACUUCAGGCUCUGGAAAUUUUUUUGUUAUCAUGUUCUAAAUUGUGCAAACCAUUUCUUUAAUUAGAGAAAAUUAAGCACAAUCUUACUUGUAUACAUAUUGUUAAUUUAAGAAACAAUUUUGUUAGUCUUUUCUAAGAAAAAUGAUAUAAGAAACUGCAAUUUACUUUUGGAUUUCAUUCUUCACUGAUUUCUGAGUUUAUGCCUAAGUCAUAAUCUAUUCCAAAUACAGGUUGAGUCCAAAUACAGGCUGAGCAAAAGGAGGAAAGAUUUAAGGAGGUAUGUGUAUUAUG
RNAcentral lists this long non-coding RNA (1280 nucleotides) under Malus domestica (apple). RNAcentral's name for it is "long non-coding RNA (MDOM_LNC014186)". The record is from RNAcentral. Lineage: Eukaryota; Viridiplantae; Streptophyta; Magnoliopsida; Rosales; Rosaceae.